UACGGAGGGUCCAAGCGUUAUCCGGAAUCAUUGGGUUUAAAGGGUCCGUAGGCGGUUUUGUAAGUCAAUGGUGAAAGCCCAUCGCUCAACGGUGGAACGGCCAUUGAUACUGCAAGACUUGAAUUAUUAGGAAGUAACUAGAAUAUGUAGUGUAGCGGUGAAAUGCUUAGAGAUUACAUGGAAUACCAAUUGCGAAGGCAGGUUACUACUAAUGGAUUGACGCUGAUGGACGAAAGCGUGGGGAGCGAACAGG
Molecule: ribosomal RNA, 253 nt
Filed under: uncultured bacterium
Lineage: Bacteria
Description: partial 16S ribosomal RNA
Rfam family: Bacterial small subunit ribosomal RNA
Source: RNAcentral